Molecule: ribosomal RNA, 1926 nt
Filed under: human gut metagenome
Description: bacterial LSU rRNA
Rfam family: Bacterial large subunit ribosomal RNA
Source: RNAcentral
ACAAGCAACGAAGGGCAACAGGAGGAUGCCUUGGCGACACAUGGCGAUGAAGGACGUGGCAAGCUGCGAAAAGCUUCGGAGAGCCGCAAGCAGGCUUUAACCCGGAGAUAUCCGAAUGGGGAAACCCACCGGCGGUAAAGCGUCGGUACUGCGACAUGAAUAGAUAGUGUUGUAAGAGCGAGACCCGCUGAAGUGAAACAUCUCAGUAAGCGGAGGAAAAGAAAGCGAAGCGAUUCCCUGAGUAGUGGCGAGCGAAAGGGGAGCAGCCCAAACCGUGGGGAUUAAUCCUUGCGGGGUUAGGACUCAGACGUGGACUUAUAUUAGAUAGAAGAACGGUGUGGAAAAGCCGGCCAAAGAGGGUGAGAGUCCCGUAUUUGAAAUUUAAUAUAUACCUAUGAGUAUCCAGAGUAGCACCGGACACGUGAAACCUGGUGUGAAAGAGUGCAGACCACUGCAUAAGGCUAAAUACAAGGUGUCGACCGAUAGUGAACAAGUACCGUGAGGGAAAGGUGAAAAGGACCCCUGUUAGGGGAGUUAAAAGUACCUGAAACCUGUUGCCUACAAGCGGUCAGAGCCCCUUAGUGGGGUGAUGGCGUACCUUUUGCAUAAUGGGCCUAGGAGUCUAUGUCAGUUGCGAGCUUAAGCGUUUACGACGUGGAGGCGAAGCGAAAGCGAGUCUGAAUAGGGCGGUAGUAACUGGGAUAGAACCCGAAGCGGAGGCGAUCUAGCCAUGGCCAGGCUGAAGCAUCGGUAACACGAUGUGGAGGGCCGAACCCAUUAACCUUGAGAAGUUAAGGGAUGAGCUGUGGUUAGGAGUGAAAGGCUAAUCAAGCCCCGUAAUAGCUGGUUCUCUCCGAAAUAUAUUUAGGUAUAGCGUCAAAUGCUGAUUACCGGGGGUAAAGCACUGAAAAGGCUAGGGUUCACACCAGAAUACCGAACCUUAUCAAACUCUGAAUACCGGUGAGUGGAAUUUGGCAGUCAGUCAGUGGGGGAUAAGCUUCAUUGGCGAGAGGGAAACAUCCCAGACCAUCGAAUAAGGUCCCAAAGAUAGUGCUAAGUGGUAAGAAGGAUGUAAGUUUUCAUAGACAAUGGGGAUGUUGGCUUAGAGGCAGCCAUCAUUUAAAAAGUGCGUAAUAGCUUACCCAUCGAGAGAAUUUGCGCCGAAAAUGAUCGGGACUAAGUACUACACCGAAUUUGUGGAAUUAGUAAUAAUUGGUAGGAGAGCGUUCCAACAUCGUAGAAGGCGGAGCGGUGAGCGACGUUGGAGAGGUUGGAAGUGAGAAUCUAGGCAUGAGUAACGAAAAGCAUGGUUAAAAUCCAUGCCGCCGUAAGGAUAAGGUUUCCUGGGGAAGGUUCGUCCGCCCAGGGUUAGUCGGGAGCUAAGGCGAGGCCGUAAGGAGUAGUCGAUGCACAACGGGUUAAUAAUCCCGUACCGGCUUGGUAAUGUUUGAGUUGCAUAUUGACGGAUGAGUGGAUGCUGGCGAGGUGAUGAACGUCCUCGUCUAAGGUGUUGUAAGGCACUGAUGGGACUUUGAGGCUACGGCCGAGGGGGAUCAGCAAUAGCUAAUUCCAGGAAAAUUUAUGCAAUUAAUUAUCAGGUUGCCCGUACCGCAAACCGACACAGGUAUCCGGGAUGAGUAUUCUAAGGCGCGUGAGUUAAAUCUCUCCAAGGAACUCGGCAAAAUGGCCCCGUAUCUUCGGUAGAAGGGGUGCCAACGCGAGUUGGUCUCAGUAAAGAGGCCCAACCGACUGUUUAUCAAAAACACAGCUCUCUGCCAAGUCGCAAGACAACGUAUAGGGAGUGACAUGUGACCAAUGCGGAAAGGUGAAAACUGCUUGUGAAAGCUUGUGGUCUAAGCCCCCGUGAAUGUCGGCCGUAACUAUAACGGUCCUAAGGUAGCGAAAUUCCUUGUCGGGUAAGUUCCG